Long non-coding RNA from Engraulis encrasicolus (European anchovy), 880 nucleotides. RefSeq lists it as uncharacterized. The transcript is spliced from 3 exons. NCBI's taxonomy places the organism in Eukaryota, Metazoa, Chordata, Actinopteri, Clupeiformes, Engraulidae. The record is from RefSeq and is a predicted model, not a curated record.
UGGCAGGUUUGCCUGUUUUAAUGUUUCAUUGGGAGAUCGAGCUUCACUGAAAUUAUGUUGUUCACGUGGAGUAUCGAGUACUGCCCGAGUGGUUUCUCGUGGCUUUAAGAGCCAAGACUGACAAAGUCUACAGCUGGAUUGCUGGCUUGAUCCACUGGCGUGUAUUGCCCUGGUGACUGACUGAAUGUCGUCGCGGUUUUCCCCCUGCCGUGACUGUUGGGAGUGUGUGCCUGUCUCGUCGGUUGGGGUGUGGACCCCCCCCCCCCUUCCUUGAUGUAACUGGUUAAUGCGGCGGGCUGCUGUUUAGUUUAGGUAGACUGAACUGGUUAGAUGCGCCGAGUGAUUGUGUGUGCGUAACGUUUGGAGUGGUUGUGUGAGUGGGGUUGCAGGACUGUUUAUGUAUUUUUGUUUUGAGCGAGACUGUGCUCUUGAACGAGCGAACGACCCGUCCUGUAUUUUGGUUUUGUGUUUUGUUUGUUAUUUUCUGAUUAUAUGUAAAUUACCACACUGGCCCAGUCUCUUCCCACUGCCUGGAUAACCGGCUCCUUGAGCUUCCUGGUUGCAGUGCCGUAGUGUAAGGUGCCCUCUUGGUGCCAUAGCGUGAAUUGGUUGCAGUCUCAACAGUGUGGGUUGAUGUGGGUUUCCUUAGCUAUAACUAACGUGUUUGCUGUGUAUUGCGGUGAUAACUUUGCUCUGUAUUUUAUUGGCAUCUCAAGGGGUGGACGGACAUUCCGAGGUCAGUUGGGAUAAUGGGAUCAGUGAUGGUGUGGAACCUGUUUUAUCUGUUUGUUUUGUUUUAAGACGUGUCUCAAAUCAUCUGUCGCAAUGCUUGUUUGUUACACCUGAACCCUUUUACAAAGAGAAUAUUAAGAACGUGAAA